This 505-nucleotide long non-coding RNA is filed under the name Mus spicilegus (steppe mouse). RNAcentral describes it as "lncRNA (ENSMSIG00000003270.1)". Lineage: Eukaryota; Metazoa; Chordata; Mammalia; Rodentia; Muridae. The record is from RNAcentral.
CUGAAGGUCAGAAACUUGGGCAUUGCCUAUGUGACUACUGACCAUGCUUCUCUUGUGGGAGCUGUGGGGAGUGGGCGGUAACUUAGGCAGGGGCCAGAGUUCCAGGAGCAUGAGGGAAUGCCUACCGUGUCAUGAAGGUGAAUUAUGACUAUCGGGGUUCAGACCUUAGCUCAACUGGAGACCAGCCUGCAAUUCCCCACAACAAGUCUUGCAGCUUGUGAGAGGAGAUGUACUUUGCUCAGCCCACAAUUAAUUAUUGAAGUCCAAGGCCUAGUGAAGUUGUAUGAAAGGUGUCAAGAGGGUGUGAGAAAGUCACGUUCUCAAGAAGCAGACGAGUACAUAUUCCUUUUUGGAAAUGAGAAGAAGUGGAAACUGUUCUGGUUAUUGGUCGGCCUUCUGGAGUGCUUCUCCCUCCUUGAAGUCCAUGAUGAGCACAGGCAAGUCCAUGAGCUCCUGGACCACCACACCCCCCUAGCAGAGGACGGUGGAUGUUUUACAUUUAAGC